This 253-nucleotide ribosomal RNA is filed under the name uncultured bacterium. RNAcentral describes it as "partial 16S ribosomal RNA". It matches the Rfam family "Bacterial small subunit ribosomal RNA", at positions 524 to 776 of the family's 1533-position model. The record is from RNAcentral.
UACAUGUGGGGCAAGCGUUGUUCGGAAUUACUGGGCAUAAAGGGUGCGUAGGCGGCUUGAUAAGUCGGUGGUGAAAUCGUCCGGCCCAACCGGACACGUGCCAAUGAUACUGCCGAGCUUGAGUGCGUGAGGGGUGGGGGGAACGAGCAGUGUAGCGGUGAAAUGCGUAGAUAUUGCUCGGAAGGCCAAAGCCGAAGGGACCCCACUGGUACGCAACUGACGCUGAGGCACGAAAGCGUGGGGAGCGAACAGG